GAUGAACGCUGGCGGCGUGCUUAACACAUGCAAGUCGAACGGAAAGGCUCCUGCUUGCCGGGGUACUCGAGUGGCGAACGGGUGAGUAACACGUGGGUGAUCUGCCCUGCACUUCGGGAUAAGCCUGGGAAACUGGGUCUAAUACCGGAUAGGACCACAUUUUGGAUGGUGUGGUGGAAAGUUUUUCGGUGUGGGAUGAGCUCGCGGCCUAUCAGCUUGUUGGUGGGGUAAUGGCCUACCAAGGCGUCGACGGGUAGCCGGCCUGAGAGGGUGUACGGCCACAUUGGGACUGAGAUACGGCCCAGACUCCUACGGGAGGCAGCAGUGGGGAAUAUUGCACAAUGGGCGCAAGCCUGAUGCAGCGACGCCGCGUGGGGGAUGACAGCCUUCGGGUUGUAAACUCCUUUCGCUAGGGACGAAGCGCAAGUGACGGUACCUGGAGAAGAAGCACCGGCUAACUACGUG
RNAcentral lists this ribosomal RNA (465 nucleotides) under uncultured bacterium. RNAcentral's name for it is "partial 16S ribosomal RNA". It matches the Rfam family "Bacterial small subunit ribosomal RNA", at positions 28 to 507 of the family's 1533-position model. The record is from RNAcentral.